GAGGCUGUUUGCUUUGUCUUAAUGCAGUUUUACUGAUUGAUGGCACUGUGGACAAAGAAAAGAUUCUUUGGACCAUGUUUUAGGGUUCCACUGAAACAGGAGAAUGAAAUUCCCUGACUUUUCCAGGUGUGUGUAAGAAUAUUCCAGUCUAUCUGCGUAAUGCACGUUGGCUGAGCUAAGAGAUGAACUUCUGUCGUAUCACAGUUAUUACGUAUAUGCUGAGAGGAAAAUGAUCAGUUGAACAGAUAGGCUACAACCCUAAGUAGUCUGGAUAUUUAUAUUUUAUUGCAUUUAAAAAACAUGCAUAGAAUCAAAUGAGAAAGAAGAAACAUGCCAAUGUAACUUUUAAAAUUUGGCAAAAAGCAACCUUGAUGCAGUGUACAUUUUGAAUAACACUUUAUGAAUUUUGAGGGCCAUCAGACAUGGAUCCUUCUUCAGAGAGAAAAAAAAAACUCUGGUUGAGAUGGGAGAAGCAACUACUAUUUUAUAUUGAGAACAAUGCGCUGAUUAAAGUGAAUGUGAACUAAAGACCAUCUCACAAGAAAAAGAGUAGCAAAACAUGAAAAAUUAUUAUUGUAAACGUCCAAAAGUUUUAGCACUGGAAUUAAUGCCCCUAACUAAAGAAGACAAAAUUUUGUGAAUAUGAAAAGCUUCAAGGAAAUCUAAUUCACAAACUGUUGAAGCUUCAUGGAUAAUUUUAACAAAAUUGAAGUUUUAUGAAGUUUAUGACAAGAGUACCCUGCUGUGAUUAGCCACUAAAUAUUUAUGCUUAUUUAUCUUUUUCAGACAUAAGAUUCAUAUUCUUUGAUGCAAA
This is a long non-coding RNA of Stegodyphus dumicola, 814 nucleotides long. NCBI's taxonomy places the organism in Eukaryota, Metazoa, Arthropoda, Arachnida, Araneae, Eresidae. The record is from RefSeq and is a predicted model, not a curated record.